This 557-nucleotide ribosomal RNA is filed under the name Malassezia furfur. RNAcentral's name for it is "LSU rRNA". It matches the Rfam family "Eukaryotic large subunit ribosomal RNA", at positions 77 to 620 of the family's 3401-position model. Lineage: Eukaryota; Fungi; Basidiomycota; Malasseziomycetes; Malasseziales; Malasseziaceae. The record is from RNAcentral.
CCCCUAGUAACGGCGAGUGAAGAGGGAAGAGCUCAAAUUUGAAAGCUGGUACCUCCGGUAUCCGCGUUGUAACCUCGAGACGCGUUUUCCGUGCGGCGCUAUGGACAAGUUCCUUGGAACAGGACAUCGUAGAGGGUGAAAAUCCCGUACUUGCCAUGGAUGUACCGUGCUUUGCGAUACGUGCUCUAAGAGUCGAGUUGUUUGGGAUUGCAGCUCAAAAUGGGUGGUAGACUCCAUCUAAAGCUAAAUAUCGGGGAGAGACCGAUAGCGAACAAGUACCGUGAGGGAAAGAUGAAAAGCACUUUGGAAAGAGAGUUAAAAGUACGUGAAAUUGUCGAAAGGGAAGCGCUUGAAGUCAGCCAUGCCGCUCAGGACUCAGCCUGGCUUUUGCUUGGUGUAUUUCCUGGGUAGCAAGUCAGCAUUGGUUUGGAUCGUCGGAGAAGCAUAGUCGGAAUGUGGCGCCCUCGGGCGUGUUAUAGCCUUCUAUUGGAUACGACGAUCUAGACCAAGGAACGCAGCGCGCCUUAUGGCGGGUCUUCGGACACCUUCGCGCUUAG